This 23-nucleotide non-coding RNA is filed under the name Cricetulus griseus (Chinese hamster). Lineage: Eukaryota; Metazoa; Chordata; Mammalia; Rodentia; Cricetidae. The record is from RNAcentral.
AAUGGAGGCUGGAUGAUUCUUAA